This 1233-nucleotide ribosomal RNA is filed under the name metagenome. RNAcentral describes it as "bacterial SSU rRNA". It matches the Rfam family "Bacterial small subunit ribosomal RNA", at positions 8 to 1275 of the family's 1533-position model. The record is from RNAcentral.
AGAGUUUGAUCCCGGCUCAGAAUCAACGCUGGCGGCGCGCUUAACACAUGCAAGUCGAACGAGAAAGGGGAGCAAUCCCUGAGUAAAGUGGCGUACGGGUGAGUAACACGUGGAUUAUCUACCUUUUAGUGGGGAAUACCGUUGGGAAACCGACGACAAUACCGCAUAAUCCCGAGAGGGGAAAGCAGCAAUGCGCUGAAAGAGGAGUCCGCGGUCGAUUAGCUAGUUGGUAGGGUAAAAGCCUACCAAGGCUGUGAUCGAUAGCCGGCCUGAGAGGGCACACGGCCACACUGGCACUGAAACACGGGCCAGACUCCUACGGGAGGCAGCAGUGGGGAAUCUUGCACAAUGGGGGAAACCCUGAUGCAGCGACGCCGCGUGAGCGAUGAAGCCCUUCGGGGUGUAAAGCUCUUUCGGCAGGGGCGAUAAUGACGGUACCUGCAGAAGCAGCUGCGGCUAACUACGUGCCAGCAGCCGCGGUAAUACGUAGGCAGCAAGCGUUGUUCGGAGUUACUGGGCGUAAAGGGUGCGUAGGCGGUCCUAUAAGUAUGGUGUGAAAUCUCCCGGCUUAACUGGGAGGGUGCGCUAUAGACUGUGGGACUAGAGUGUGGGAGAGGAAAGUGGAAUUCCUGGUGUAGCGGUGAAAUGCGUAGAUAUCAGGAGGAACACCGGCGGUGUAAACGGCUUUCUGGACCAUAACUGACCUGAGGCACGAAAGCGUGGGUAGCAAACAGGAUUAGAUACCCUGGUAGUCCACGCCCUAAACGAUGCAUAUUUGGUGUGGGUCAUUCAGUUGAUCCGUGCCGGAGCUAACGCGUUAAAUAUGCCGCCUGGGGAGUACAGUCGCAAGGCUGAAACUCAAAGGAAUUGACGGGGGCCCGCACAAGCGGUGGAGCAUGUGGUUUAAUUCGACGCAACGCGAAGAACCUUACCUGGGCUCGAAAUGCUAUGGACCAGCUGGUGAAAGCCGGCCUUCCCGCAAGGGACCGUAGUAUAGGUGCUGCAUGGCUGUCGUCAGCUCGUGUCGUGAGAUGUUGGGUUAAGUCCCGCAACGAGCGCAACCCUUGUCCUGUGUUGCCAUACCGAAAGGUGGAACUCGCAGGAGACCGCCAGGGAUAACCUGGAGGAAGGUGGGGAUGACGUCAAGUCCUCAUGGCCUUUAUGUCCAGGGCUACACACGUGCUACAAUGGACGGUACAAAGGGCUGCCAACCCGCGAGGGGGAGCCAAUCCC